RNAcentral lists this ribosomal RNA (450 nucleotides) under uncultured bacterium. Its description in RNAcentral is "partial 16S ribosomal RNA". It matches the Rfam family "Bacterial small subunit ribosomal RNA", at positions 354 to 796 of the family's 1533-position model. The record is from RNAcentral.
GUGGGGAAUAUUGGACAAUGGGCGAAAGCCUGAUCCAGCCAUGCCGCGUGUGUGAAGAAGGUCUUCGGAUUGUAAAGCACUUUAAGUUGGGAGGAAGGGCAGUAAGUUAAUACCUUGCUGUUUUGACGUUACCAACAGAAUAAGCACCGGCUAACUUCGUGCCAGCAGCCGCGGUAAUACGAAGGGUGCAAGCGUUAAUCGGAAUUACUGGGCGUAAAGCGCGCGUAGGUGGUUCAGCAAGUUGAAGGUGAAAUCCCCGGGCUCAACCUGGGAACUGCCUACAAAACUACUGAGCUAGAGUACGGUAGAGGGUAGUGGAAUUUCCUGUGUAGCGGUGAAAUGCGUAGAUAUAGGAAGGAACACCAGUGGCGAAGGCGACUACCUGGACUGAUACUGACACUGAGGUGCGAAAGCGUGGGGAGCAAACAGGAUUAGAAACCCUGGUAGUCC